This 492-nucleotide ribosomal RNA is filed under the name Triticum aestivum (bread wheat). RNAcentral's name for it is "partial small subunit ribosomal RNA". The record is from RNAcentral. Lineage: Eukaryota; Viridiplantae; Streptophyta; Magnoliopsida; Poales; Poaceae.
AUGUUGCAUGUGCCAGCUUUUCCUGUGAACUUAGUGUCCUUGAGUGCUUUGGUUGACCACAUUGAUUGCCAAAUAAUUCUUGACAAGGUUGUGUUCUUGAUCCAGGAGAGAUCAACGGCCAGGAGUUUUGGAACUGGAACGAGGCAUGGGGGGUUGUGGUACAUGGACCGCAACAUGACGGACCAGGAGGGAAUGCACAUGCUAGCUGCAGUUGCUGAGGAUAAGGAGACUGGAGCCUUAAUGCAUCACUAUAGGAUGGGACAUGUGUCUUCUGAUAAAAUGUCUCAAGUAUUUCCUGAUGUAAUGAGUGGUGUGGACAAGAGCAAGCUGCACUGUUAUGCGUGUGAGUUUGCUAAACAUACCAGAACCUCAUAUGUGAGUAAGGGGAUCAGGACCAUAUCGCCUUUUGUGUUAAUCCACUCUGAUGUAUGGACAUGUCCAGUGUUAUCUGUCAGUGGUCAGUGGUAUGAAGUACUUCGUUACGUUCAUUGA